RNAcentral lists this transfer RNA (57 nucleotides) under Dryobates pubescens (Downy woodpecker). RNAcentral's name for it is "Picoides pubescens (downy woodpecker) tRNA". It matches the Rfam family "tRNA", at positions 8 to 63 of the family's 71-position model. Rfam says of the family: Transfer RNA (tRNA) molecules are approximately 80 nucleotides in length. Their secondary structure includes four short double-helical elements and three loops (D, anti-codon, and T loops). Lineage: Eukaryota; Metazoa; Chordata; Aves; Piciformes; Picidae. The record is from Rfam by way of RNAcentral.
UAGCUCAGUUGGUAGAGCAUGAGACUCCUACUCUCAGGGUUGUGGGUUCAGGCCUGC